AAUGAACGCUGGCGGCAUGCCUAACACAUGCAAGUCGAACGAAGGCUUCGGCCUUAGUGGCGCACGGGUGCGUAACGCGUGGGAAUCUGCCCUCAGGUUCGGAAUAACAGCGAGAAAUUGCUGCUAAUACCGGAUGAUAUCGCGAGAUCAAGGAUUUAUCGCCUGAGGAUGAGCCCGCGUAGGAUUAGCUAGUUGGUGUGGUAAAGGCGCACCAAGGCGACGAUCCUUAGCUGGUCUGAGAGGAUGAUCAGCCACACUGGGACUGAGACACGGCCCAGACGCCUACGGGAGGCAGCAGUGGGGAAUAUUGGACAAUGGGCGAAAGCCUGAUCCAGCAAUGCCGCGUGAGUGAUGAAGGCCUUAGGGUUGUAAAGCUCUUUUACCCGGGAUGAUAAUGACAGUACCGGGAGAAUAAGCUCCGGCUAACUCCGUGCCAGCAGCCGCCGUAA
This 449-nucleotide ribosomal RNA is filed under the name uncultured bacterium. RNAcentral's name for it is "partial 16S ribosomal RNA". It matches the Rfam family "Bacterial small subunit ribosomal RNA", at positions 29 to 523 of the family's 1533-position model. The record is from RNAcentral.